This is a long non-coding RNA of Tripterygium wilfordii, 398 nucleotides long. RefSeq lists it as uncharacterized. NCBI's taxonomy places the organism in Eukaryota, Viridiplantae, Streptophyta, Magnoliopsida, Celastrales, Celastraceae. The transcript has 2 exons. The record is from RefSeq and is a predicted model, not a curated record.
GGAUAACAAAGCUUCCCCGACGACGAACACCGAUGUGAGACAUCGGACAGCUUAACAUCUCGCGAUUAGGAGCUCUGGAAUUUCCUGCUAUGUUGCAUGCAUGCUGAGGACUGAUUUGUUUGUCGUCUUCAACAACAUUGACAAAGUGAUGCUUGGUUCUUUGAGGCCAAACCUUACACCUUGUGCAAAUGUAAGUAAGAUGCUUAUGUGAGUACGAUAUGUAAGUAUGAUUUAUUUGUUUCCCGUUUCCAGGAUGGUCCAAGUUUAGGCUUUAGUCUAUAUGAAUAUUAGAGAGGAGCAAAUUAUUUAUUUUGACAAAAAUUUAUCUCCAAACAAUGCAAAAUAGGCUAACAGUGACUUCUAACUUCACUUGAAAUGGAUUGAUGGAGUUACAAUUA